RNAcentral lists this ribosomal RNA (390 nucleotides) under Triticum aestivum (bread wheat). RNAcentral's name for it is "partial small subunit ribosomal RNA". The record is from RNAcentral. Lineage: Eukaryota; Viridiplantae; Streptophyta; Magnoliopsida; Poales; Poaceae.
AUGCAUAUGACGCAACUAAGCUCAAGGAGGAGCUCGAUGAAGAUCUUGUCCUUUAUGUUGUUCUGCUUCCAGUUGAUCAGUAGUGGAGCCCAGUUGGGGUCGAUCGGGGACCUUGUCGCAUUUGGGGUUCUUCUUUUAUUUUGGUUCCGUAGUCGGACCUUGAUUGUAUUUGGAUGUUGUAAUGCUUUAUUCAUGUAUUUGUGUGAAGUGACGAUUGUGAUCCAACUAUGUAUCUAUUUCCCUUAUGUAUUACAUGGGUUGUGUGAACAUUACCUCACUUGCAACAUUGCUUUUAAUGCGGUUAUGCCUCAAAGUCGUGCUUCGACACGUGGGAGAUAUAGCCGCAUCGAGGGCGUUACAAGUUGGUAUCAGAGCCUUCCCCGACCUUAG